This 669-nucleotide long non-coding RNA is filed under the name Helianthus annuus (common sunflower). RNAcentral describes it as "hypothetical non coding rna". Lineage: Eukaryota; Viridiplantae; Streptophyta; Magnoliopsida; Asterales; Asteraceae. The record is from RNAcentral.
UUCUUUUCUUUCUCUUAGCCUCUAUUAUAGCAAAAUAGUAGCUCGGUAUUCUACCCCUUAAAACCCCGAAACUCUGCUCGUGAUUAGGGUAAGAACUCUAAUCACGGACACGGAACUAUAUCCGAUUGAUUGAAACUGAUCAAACGGAUGUUUAAGUGAUGCCUGUAUACGGUUAUACUUUGUCAGUCGUUAUAUAUGUGAGGAAGGUGCAAGGAAGGUGUAAGAAGAUAUAUAUGUGGGUAGGAAGCUUCCUAGAAAAUGUAUAGAAAACUCUGCACUAUACACUUACAAUCAAAAUAGACGCUUAAAUUACUAGAAGAUUCAGAACUAUAAGUAGAUGUGUAAUCAUCAGAAGAAUUAGAAUCAAGAUGCUUGUUUAAUCAAGAGUAUAUGCUUAAACCCUAAUAAAAGGCUCAUUUUUAAAGCGUGAAUUGAGAAAAUUCUAUUUAUGGGAAAUACAAUAACAAUUACCUCUCCGGCAAGACCAGGUAUGGUGUAGCAGACUCUCCAGCUUGUCCGGGCAAGAUGGGGUUACCUCUCCGGCGAGAACUGGGUAAGAUGGAGUGUCAAACAAGUGAGAGAAUUCCCUAAAUAGUAUCAUGACCUGAUGUCUGACUUGUUUGGAAACAUGAAUCUGUGAAAUACAUUAACCUUAUGAAUGGCUUGUAU